Non-coding RNA from Megalops atlanticus (tarpon), 83 nucleotides. NCBI's taxonomy places the organism in Eukaryota, Metazoa, Chordata, Actinopteri, Elopiformes, Megalopidae. The record is from the annotation of a GenBank genome assembly.
ACCAGGAUGGCCUAGUGGUUAAGGCAUUGGACUUAAGAUUCAAUGGAUGUGUGCUUGCGUGGGUUCAAACCCCACUCCUGGUA